AGAAAUUUAGGUUAAUUAAGUAAACCAGGGACCUUCAAAGCCCCAAACAGGGGUAAUCCCCUAAUUUCUG
RNAcentral lists this transfer RNA (70 nucleotides) under Ramigekko swartbergensis. Its description in RNAcentral is "tRNA-Trp". It matches the Rfam family "tRNA". From Rfam's summary of the family: Transfer RNA (tRNA) molecules are approximately 80 nucleotides in length. Lineage: Eukaryota; Metazoa; Chordata; Lepidosauria; Squamata; Gekkonidae. The record is from RNAcentral.